GACGAACGCUGGCGGCGUGCCUAAUACAUGCAAGUUGAGCGCUGAAGGUUGGUACUUGUACCAACUGGAUGAGCAGCGAACGGGUGAGUAACGCGUGGGGAAUCUGCCUUUGAGCGGGGGACAACAUUUGGAAACGAAUGCUAAUACCGCAUAAAAACUUUAAACACAAGUUUUAAGUUUGAAAGAUGCAAUUGCAUCACUCAAAGAUGAUCCCGCGUUGUAUUAGCUAGUUGGUGAGGUAAAGGCUCACCAAGGCGAUGAUACGUAGCCGACCUGAGAGGGUGAUCGGCCACAUUGGGACUGAGACACGGCCCAAACUCCUACGGGAGGCAGCAGUAGGGAAUCUUCGGAAAUGGACGAAAGUCUGACCGAGCAACGCCGCGUGAGUGAAGAAGGUUUUCGGAUCGUAAAACUCUGUUGGUAGAGAAGAACGUUGGUGAGAGUGGAAAGCUCAUCAAGUGACGGUAACUACCCAGAAAGGGACGGCUAACUACGUG
This 497-nucleotide ribosomal RNA is filed under the name uncultured bacterium. Its description in RNAcentral is "partial 16S ribosomal RNA". It matches the Rfam family "Bacterial small subunit ribosomal RNA", at positions 28 to 507 of the family's 1533-position model. The record is from RNAcentral.